This 562-nucleotide ribosomal RNA is filed under the name uncultured fungus. Its description in RNAcentral is "eukaryotic LSU rRNA". The stretch from base 151 to 304 matches the Rfam family "5.8S ribosomal RNA". The record is from RNAcentral. Lineage: Eukaryota; Fungi.
UUCUGUGCUGGCUUCUGCAUAUGCACGUUGGUGACUUUCAUACAAUACCCUCUUGUGAACCUUUGGCCUCAUGCUGGCUUUGGCUGGCAGAGGAUUUACACAAACUUGAAUGUAAUGGAAAGACCAUGUUGUGCGCAAGCACUAAUGUACAACUUUCAACAACGGAUCUCUUGGCUCUCGCAUCGAUGAAGAACGCAGCGAAAUGCGAUAAGUAAUGUGAAUUGCAGAAUUCAGUGAAUCAUCGAAUCUUUGAACGCACCUUGCACCCAUUGGUAUUCCAAAGGGUAUGCUCGUUUGAGUGUCAUUGUACUCUCACACUCUAAUUAUGGAGAAGUGGACUUGGGUGUUGCUGCUUUGCUGUGGCUCAUCUCAAAUAUGCUAGUGCAACUCAUGGUUGGAUAUAGUACAGCGUGAUAAGUAUCUUCGCUGGCACCUCAUGAAGAGGGUGUCCGAUUGGGAGCUCUGUGCUUCAAACCGUCCGAUCUGGGACAAUUUAUGACAACUUGGCCUCAAAUCGAGUAGGACUACCCGCUGAACUUAAGCAUAUCAAUAAGGCGGAGGA